AGUGAACGCUGGCGGUAGGCCUAACACAUGCAAGUCGAACGGCAGCACAGUAAGAGCUCGCUCUUACGGGUGGCGAGUGGCGGACGGGUGACGAAUACAUCGGAAUCUACUUUUUCGUGGGUGAUAACGUAGGGACACUUACGCUAAUACCGCAUACGUUCUACGGGUGAAAGCAGGGGAUCCUCGCACCUUUCGUGAUAGAAUGAGCUGAUGCCGGAUUAGCUAGUUGGCGGGGUAAAGGCCCACCAAGGCGACGAUCCGUAGCUGGUCUGAGAGGAUGAUCAGCCACACUGGAACUGAGACACGGUCCAGACUCCUACGGGAGGCAGCAGUAGGGAAUAUUGGGCAAUGGGCGAAAGCCUGAUCCAGCAAUGCCGCGUGAGUGAAGAAGGCCUUCGGAUUGUAAAGCCCUGUUAUUAGGAAAGAAAAAAAGCGGGUUAAUACACGGCUGUUUUGACGGUACCCAAAGAAUAAGCACCGGCUAACUUCGUG
This 492-nucleotide ribosomal RNA is filed under the name uncultured bacterium. RNAcentral's name for it is "partial 16S ribosomal RNA". It matches the Rfam family "Bacterial small subunit ribosomal RNA", at positions 29 to 507 of the family's 1533-position model. The record is from RNAcentral.